This 491-nucleotide ribosomal RNA is filed under the name uncultured bacterium. Its description in RNAcentral is "partial 16S ribosomal RNA". It matches the Rfam family "Bacterial small subunit ribosomal RNA", at positions 29 to 506 of the family's 1533-position model. The record is from RNAcentral.
AGUGAACGCUGGCGGUAGGCCUAACACAUGCAAGUCGAACGGCAGCACAGUAAGAGCUUGCUCUUACGGGUGGCGAGUGGCGGACGGGUGAGGAAUACAUCGGAAUCUACUUUUUCGUGGGGGAUAACGUAGGGAAACUUACGCUAAUACCGCAUACGACCUACGGGUGAAAGCAGGGGAUCUUCGGGCCUUGCGCGAUUGAAUGAGCCGAUGUCGGAUUAGCUAGUUGGCGGGGUAAAGGCCCACCAAGGCGACGAUCCGUAGCUGGUCUGAGAGGAUGAUCAGCCACACUGGAACUGAGACACGGUCCAGACUCCUACGGGAGGCAGCAGUGGGGAAUAUUGGACAAUGGGCGCAAGCCUGAUCCAGCCAUACCGCGUGGGUGAAGAAGGCCUUCGGGUUGUAAAGCCCUUUUGUUGGGAAAGAAAAGCAGCAGGUUAAUACCCCGCUGUUCUGACGGUACCCAAAGAAUAAGCACCGGCUAACUUCGU